This 22-nucleotide non-coding RNA is filed under the name Rattus norvegicus (Norway rat). The record is from RNAcentral. Lineage: Eukaryota; Metazoa; Chordata; Mammalia; Rodentia; Muridae.
UGAUAAUUCCCACCAAGCUGCU